AGUGAACGCUGGCGGUAGGCCUAACACAUGCAAGUCGAACGGCAGCACAGUAAGAGCUUGCUCUUACGGGUGGCGAGUGGCGGACGGGUGAGGAAUACAUCGGAAUCUACUUUUUCGUGGGGGAUAACGUAGGGAAACUUACGCUAAUACCGCAUACGACCUACGGGUGAAGGCAGGGGAUCUUCGGACCUUGCGCGAUUGAAUGAGCCGAUGUCGGAUUAGCUAGUUGGCGGGGUAAAGGCCCACCAAGGCGACGAUCCGUAGCUGGUCUGAGAGGAUGAUCAGCCACACUGGAACUGGGACACGGUCCAGACUCCUACGGGAGGCAGCAGUGGGGAAUAUUGGGCAAUGGGCGCAAGCCUGAUCCAGCCAUACCGCGUGGGUGAAGAAGGCCUUCGGGUUGUAAAGCCCUUUUGUUGGGAAAGAAAAGCAGCAGGUUAAUACCCCGCUGUUCUGACGGUACCCAAAGAAUAAGCACCGGCUAACUUCGUG
This 492-nucleotide ribosomal RNA is filed under the name uncultured bacterium. RNAcentral describes it as "partial 16S ribosomal RNA". It matches the Rfam family "Bacterial small subunit ribosomal RNA", at positions 29 to 507 of the family's 1533-position model. The record is from RNAcentral.